Molecule: long non-coding RNA, 483 nt
Filed under: Prunus persica (peach)
Lineage: Eukaryota; Viridiplantae; Streptophyta; Magnoliopsida; Rosales; Rosaceae
Description: long non-coding RNA (PPER_LNC000603)
Source: RNAcentral
ACCUCUUUGCCAUCGAUUUCCAUGCUCUGUGUCUGAAACUCCACCCCAAUUGUGGCCUUGGAGUGCGCAUUGAACUCGUUGCGCGCAUAGCGAGACAGCAAGUUCGAUUUCCCGACCGCGGAGUCUCCAAUUAUCACGAUCUUAAACAGGUACUCUUCCCCUGACCCCUCCUCGUCUGAAGACGACAUGUCGUCUUUCUGGGUCUUCUCUUCUUUCUGCUCUGUUUCCUUUCUAGGUUUCUUCGUUGAAGUUGUUUAGCAGAGAAUUGAGCUCGCAGUUCGAGAAUGGAGAGAAUGGGUGUGAGUUUUUUUUUUUUUUUUUCCCCUUUUUUGCAGGGGAGAUACACAGCAGAGCAGAGCAGAGGAUAAAGACAGGAAGACGAUGGUGCGAAUUUUGGACAGCAAGGGAAAGAAGAAACGAUGAUGUAUUGAGCUGGCAGAAGGACAUACUGCGCAUGUAGCGCCCUCAUUACAGAUUUUUUUG